This 770-nucleotide long non-coding RNA is filed under the name Oncorhynchus mykiss (rainbow trout). RNAcentral's name for it is "lncRNA (ENSOMYG00000054221.1)". The record is from RNAcentral. Lineage: Eukaryota; Metazoa; Chordata; Actinopteri; Salmoniformes; Salmonidae.
UCUGAAAAGAUUUGGUAGCCACAAGCGUUCUCUAGACCUAAACACUGUUAAAAGUCUUGAAAAAAGUAAACAAACUCUCCAGUAAGCCUUCACCCACCAAGACAACAGUUUUGGAGUUAACAUAGAGGAGAUAUCAAACCUUCAAUUUCACAAUUCUUUGACCAUCAAAAGGUUGGCGGCUAGACCAAAAACAUUCAGGGCUACAGCCCCGGAAGCCAACCCCUAACAAUGGCGAUGCUGCUGGACCAACAGUGACCACCGUUUCAAAUCUCUGAUGCAUAAAUUAUGUCUAUUCUACAAAAUAGAGUGGUGAGAGUGUGGUGCCUUAAGAGGACCCGUUGUGAUUCUUUGACACCACAGGACCGGGACACACAAGGAUUCCGAUAUCGUCAUGGCCAUGGUAUGCAUUGACUCUCCAAAUAGUACAGCCCCUUUGCAGAGUCAGGGCAAUUCUAUGAUAAAUAUUUUCCAGGAAUGUGCUAAACAAAUCUCUUGUUUCAGAAAGUAGCAAUUGCAAUGCCAUAUCUUCAUAUUCAUUUAGAGUUGUAUUCUUGGGUUAAAUCCAAAUGGUACCAUAGAGCAGGGUUUACCAAACUCUACCCUGGGGUCCCCCCUUGACGAAACAUUUUGUUAUUUGCCCUAGCACUACACAGCUGAUUCAAAUAAUCAUUCAUCGUCAAGCUUUGAUUAUCAAAUCAGCUGUGUAGUGCUAGGGCAAAAAACUAAAUGUGCACCAAGGGGGGACCCCCAGGGUAGAGUUUGGUAAACCC